GGUUAAGCGACUAAGCGUACACGGUGGAUGCCCAGGCAGUCAGAGGCGAUGAAGGACGUGCUAAUCUGCGUAAAGCGACGGUAAGGUGAUAUGAACCGCUACAGCCGUCGAUGUCCGAAUGGGGAAACCCGGUGCACUCUGUGCAUCAUUGCAGCAUGAAUACAUAGUGCUGCAAGGCGAACCGGGGGAACUGAAACAUCUAAGUACCCCGAGGAAAAGAAAUCAACCGAGAUUCCCCCAGUAGCGGCGAGCGAACGGGGAGCAGCCCAGAGCCUGAAUCAGU
This 283-nucleotide ribosomal RNA is filed under the name Pantoea agglomerans. RNAcentral describes it as "partial 23S ribosomal RNA". It matches the Rfam family "Bacterial large subunit ribosomal RNA", at positions 1 to 285 of the family's 2925-position model. Lineage: Bacteria; Pseudomonadati; Pseudomonadota; Gammaproteobacteria; Enterobacterales; Erwiniaceae. The record is from RNAcentral.